Molecule: ribosomal RNA, 1631 nt
Filed under: Salmonella enterica
Lineage: Bacteria; Pseudomonadati; Pseudomonadota; Gammaproteobacteria; Enterobacterales; Enterobacteriaceae
Description: partial 23S ribosomal RNA
Source: RNAcentral
AGCGGGUGAAAAGCCCGCUCGCCGGAAGACCAAGGGUUCCUGUCCAACGUUAAUCGGGGCAGGGUGAGUCGACCCCUAAGGCGAGGCCGAAAGGCGUAGUCGAUGGGAAACGGGUUAAUAUUCCCGUACUUGGUGUUACUGCGAAGGGGGGACGGAGAAGGCUAUGUUGGCCGGGCGACGGUUGUCCCGGUUUAAGCGUGUAGGUGUGUGUUCCAGGUAAAUCCGGUUCACUUUAACACUGAGGCGUGAUGACGAGGCACUACGGUGCUGAAGCAACAAAUGCCCUGCUUCCAGGAAAAGCCUCUAAGCAUCAGGUAACAUCAAAUCGUACCCCAAACCGACACAGGUGGUCAGGUAGAGAAUACCAAGGCGCUUGAGAGAACUCGGGUGAAGGAACUAGGCAAAAUGGUGCCGUAACUUCGGGAGAAGGCACGCUGACACGUAGGUGAAGUGRUUUACUCAYGGAGCUGAAGUCAGUCGAAGAUACCAGCUGGCUGCAACUGUUUAUUAAAAACACAGCACUGUGCAAACACGAAAGUGGACGUAUACGGUGUGACGCCUGCCCGGUGCCGGAAGGUUAAUUGAUGGGGUCAGCGCAAGCGAAGCUCCUGAUCGAAGCCCCGGUAAACGGCGGCCGUAACUAUAACGGUCCUAAGGUAGCGAAAUUCCUUGUCGGGUAAGUUCCGACCUGCACGAAUGGCGUAAUGAUGGCCAGGCUGUCUCCACCCGAGACUCAGUGAAAUUGAACUCGCUGUGAAGAUGCAGUGUACCCGCGGCAAGACGGAAAGACCCCGUGAACCUUUACUAUAGCUUGACACUGAACAUUGAGCCUUGAUGUGUAGGAUAGGUGGGAGGCUUUGAAGYGUGGACGCCAGUCUGCAUGGAGCCGACCUUGAAAUACCACCCUUUAAUGUUUGAUGUUCUAACGUGGACCCGUAAUCCGGGUUGCGGACAGUGUCUGGUGGGUAGUUUGACUGGGGCGGUCUCCUCCUAAAGAGUAACGGAGGAGCACGAAGGUUGGCUAAUCCUGGUCGGACAUCAGGAGGUUAGUGCAAUGGCAUAAGCCAGCUUGACUGCGAGCGUGACGGCGCGAGCAGGUGCGAAAGCAGGUCAUAGUGAUCCGGUGGUUCUGAAUGGAAGGGCCAUCGCUCAACGGAUAAAAGGUACUCCGGGGAUAACAGGCUGAUACCGCCCAAGAGUUCAUAUCGACGGCGGUGUUUGGCACCUCGAUGUCGGCUCAUCACAUCCUGGGGCUGAAGUAGGUCCCAAGGGUAUGGCUGUUCGCCAUUUAAAGUGGUACGCGAGCUGGGUUUAGAACGUCGUGAGACAGUUCGGUCCCUAUCUGCCGUGGGCGCUGGAGAACUGAGGGGGGCUGCUCCUAGUACGAGAGGACCGGAGUGGACGCAUCACUGGUGUUCGGGUUGUCAUGCCAAUGGCACUGCCCGGUAGCUAAAUGCGGAAGAGAUAAGUGCUGAAAGCAUCUAAGCACGAAACUUGCCCCGAGAUGAGUUCUCCCUGAGACUUAGAGUCUCCUGAAGGAACGUUGAAGACGACGACGUUGAUAGGCCGGGUGUGUAAGCGCAGCGAUGCGUUGAGCUAACCGGUACUAAUGAACCGUGAGGCUUAACCUU